GACCACUCCCAACUGGUGUCCGCCUUUGGGGAGUUAAGGCCAUACGGACAGCCGGGUCCGCUGCCGA
This 67-nucleotide small RNA is filed under the name human gut metagenome. Its description in RNAcentral is "Streptococcus sRNA SpF59 (ldcC RNA)". It matches the Rfam family "Streptococcus sRNA SpF59 (ldcC RNA)". RNAcentral also lists the same sequence under 1 other name. The record is from RNAcentral.